RNAcentral lists this ribosomal RNA (497 nucleotides) under uncultured bacterium. RNAcentral describes it as "partial 16S ribosomal RNA". It matches the Rfam family "Bacterial small subunit ribosomal RNA", at positions 28 to 507 of the family's 1533-position model. The record is from RNAcentral.
GACGAACGCUGGCGGCGUGCCUAAUACAUGCAAGUUGAGCGCUGAAGGCUGGUACUUGUACCAACUGGAUGAGCAGCGAACGGGUGAGUAACGCGUGGGGAAUCUGCCUUUGAGCGGGGGACAACAUUUGGAAACGAAUGCUAAUACCGCAUAAAAACUUUAAACACAAGUUUUAAGUUUGAAAGAUGCAAUUGCAUCACUCAAAGAUGAUCCCGCGUUGUAUUAGCUAGUUGGUGAGGUAAAGGCUCACCAAGGCGAUGAUACAUAGCCGACCUGAGAGGGUGAUCGGCCACAUUGGGACUGAGACACGGCCCAAACUCCUGCGGGAGGCAGCAGUAGGGAAUCUUCGGCAGUAGACGAAAGUCUGACCGAGCAACGCCGCGUGAGUGAAGAAGGGUGUCGGAUCGUAAAACUCUGUUGGUAGAGAAGAACGUUGGUGAGAGUGGAAAGCUCAUCAAGUGACGGUAACUACACAGAAAGGGACGGCUAACUACGUG